This 1067-nucleotide ribosomal RNA is filed under the name Enterococcus faecium. RNAcentral's name for it is "bacterial SSU rRNA". It matches the Rfam family "Bacterial small subunit ribosomal RNA", at positions 172 to 1226 of the family's 1533-position model. Lineage: Bacteria; Bacillati; Bacillota; Bacilli; Lactobacillales; Enterococcaceae. The record is from RNAcentral.
UAUAACAAUCGAAACCGCAUGGUUUUGAUUUGAAAGGCGCUUUCGGGUGUCGCUGAUGGAUGGACCCGCGGUGCAUUAGCUAGUUGGUGAGGUAACGGCUCACCAAGGCCACGAUGCAUAGCCGACCUGAGAGGGUGAUCGGCCACAUUGGGACUGAGACACGGCCCAAACUCCUACGGGAGGCAGCAGUAGGGAAUCUUCGGCAAUGGACGAAAGUCUGACCGAGCAACGCCGCGUGAGUGAAGAAGGUUUUCGGAUCGUAAAACUCUGUUGUUAGAGAAGAACAAGGAUGAGAGUAACUGUUCAUCCCUUGACGGUAUCUAACCAGAAAGCCACGGCUAACUACGUGCCAGCAGCCGCGGUAAUACGUAGGUGGCAAGCGUUGUCCGGAUUUAUUGGGCGUAAAGCGAGCGCAGGCGGUUUCUUAAGUCUGAUGUGAAAGCCCCCGGCUCAACCGGGGAGGGUCAUUGGAAACUGGGAGACUUGAGUGCAGAAGAGGAGAGUGGAAUUCCAUGUGUAGCGGUGAAAUGCGUAGAUAUAUGGAGGAACACCAGUGGCGAAGGCGGCUCUCUGGUCUGUAACUGACGCUGAGGCUCGAAAGCGUGGGGAGCAAACAGGAUUAGAUACCCUGGUAGUCCACGCCGUAAACGAUGAGUGCUAAGUGUUGGAGGGUUUCCGCCCUUCAGUGCUGCAGCUAACGCAUUAAGCACUCCGCCUGGGGAGUACGACCGCAAGGUUGAAACUCAAAGGAAUUGACGGGGGCCCGCACAAGCGGUGGAGCAUGUGGUUUAAUUCGAAGCAACGCGAAGAACCUUACCAGGUCUUGACAUCCUUUGACCACUCUAGAGAUAGAGCUUCCCCUUCGGGGGCAAAGUGACAGGUGGUGCAUGGUUGUCGUCAGCUCGUGUCGUGAGAUGUUGGGUUAAGUCCCGCAACGAGCGCAACCCUUAUUGUUAGUUGCCAUCAUUCAGUUGGGCACUCUAGCAAGACUGCCGGUGACAAACCGGAGGAAGGUGGGGAUGACGUCAAAUCAUCAUGCCCCUUAUGACCUGGGCUACACACGUGCU